Aedes aegypti (yellow fever mosquito) is the source of this 72-nucleotide non-coding RNA. Lineage: Eukaryota; Metazoa; Arthropoda; Insecta; Diptera; Culicidae. The record is from Rfam.
GGCUCGGCAGCUUAGUUGGUAAAGCGCUCGUCUAGCAUACAAGAGUCCUGGGUUCAAAUCCCAGCCGAGCAC